Molecule: transfer RNA, 74 nt
Filed under: Rubripirellula sp.
Lineage: Bacteria; Pseudomonadati; Planctomycetota; Planctomycetia; Pirellulales; Pirellulaceae
Also listed under: 1 other name
Description: tRNA-Thr
Rfam family: tRNA
About the family: Transfer RNA (tRNA) molecules are approximately 80 nucleotides in length. Their secondary structure includes four short double-helical elements and three loops (D, anti-codon, and T loops). Further hydrogen bonds mediate the characteristic L-shaped molecular structure. tRNAs have two regions of fundamental functional importance: the anti-codon, which is responsible for specific mRNA codon recognition, and the 3' end, to which the tRNAs corresponding amino acid is attached (by aminoacyl-tRNA synthetases). tRNAs cope with the degeneracy of the genetic code in two manners: having more than one tRNA (with a specific anti-codon) for a particular amino acid; and 'wobble' base-pairing, i.e. permitting non-standard base-pairing at the 3rd anti-codon position.
Source: RNAcentral
GCCAGUGUAGCUUCAAUUGGCAGAGCAACGCAUUCGUAAUGCGUAGGUUAUGAGUUCGAAUCUCAUCACUGGCU